This 771-nucleotide ribosomal RNA is filed under the name uncultured bacterium. RNAcentral's name for it is "bacterial SSU rRNA". It matches the Rfam family "Bacterial small subunit ribosomal RNA", at positions 66 to 834 of the family's 1533-position model. The record is from RNAcentral.
ACGGUAUCUUUGGAUACAGUGGCGAACGGGUGAGUAACACGUAGGGAACCUGGCCAUACCUGGGGGAUAAUUUCUGGAAACGGAAACUAAUACCGCAUGGGUUUUGCUUAAGCCUUUAAGCGAAAUGAAAGAAGCGCGAGACGCUUCGGGGAUGGAUGGUCCUGCGCUGCAUUAGCUGGCUGGUGAGGCAACGGCUCACCAGGGCGAUGAUGCAUAGCCGGCCUGAGAGGGCGGACGGCCACACUGGGACUGAGACACGGCCCAGACUCCUGCGGGAGGCAGCAGUAGGGAAUUUUCGUCAAUGGGGGCAACCCUGAACGAGCAAUGCCGCGUGAGCGAAGAAGGUCUUCGGAUUGUAAAGCUCUGUUGCCGGGGAAAAAGGAAGGAAAGAGGAAAUGCUUUUCUUUGGAUGGUACCCGGCCAGAAAGUCACGGCUAACUACGUGCCAGCAGCCGCGGUAAUACGUAGGUGGCAAGCGUUAUCCGGAAUGAUUGGGCGUAAAGGGUGAGCAGGCGGUUCUUCAAGUCAUGAGUGAAAGGCAGAAGCUUAACUUCUGUUGGCUGAUGAGACUGGAGAACUUGAGUACAGGAGAGGGCGGCGGAACUCCAUGUGUAGCGGUAAAAUGCGUAGAGAUAUGGAAGAACACCAGUGGCGAAGGCGGCCGCCUGGACUGAAACUGACGCUCAGGCACGAAAGCGUGGGGAGCAAAUAGGAUUAGAUACCCUAGUAGUCCACGCCGUAAACGAUGAGGAGCAGGUGUCGCAAUGAAAU